This is a non-coding RNA of Phrynosoma platyrhinos (Desert horned lizard), 72 nucleotides long. The record is from the annotation of a GenBank genome assembly. NCBI's taxonomy places the organism in Eukaryota, Metazoa, Chordata, Lepidosauria, Squamata, Phrynosomatidae.
GCCAGAGUGGUGUAGUGGUUUGAGCAUUGGACUACAACUCUAGAGACCAGGGUUCAAACCCCAGCUCAGCCA